CUUUCAAUUAUUUUUAUAGCCUCUGGCUAUAGGAAAUUGUUAGUGGCAGACGGGUGAGUAAUGCGUAGGAAUCUACCUAGUAGUACGGAAUAGCCAUUAGAAAUGGUGGGUAAUACUGUAUAAUCCCCGAGGGGGAAAGAUUUAUCGCUAUUAGAUGAGCCUACGUUAGAUUAGCUAGUUGGUGAGGUAAUGGCUUACCAAGGCUAUGAUCUAUAGCUGGUCUGAGAGGACGAUCAGCCACACUGGAACUGAGAUACGGUCCAGACUCCUACGGGAGGCAGCAGUGGGGAAUAUUGGACAAUGGGCGAAAGCCUGAUCCAGCUAUGCCGCGUGAGUGAAGAAGGCCUUCGGGUGUAAAUUUAAUUC
RNAcentral lists this ribosomal RNA (366 nucleotides) under Ehrlichia canis. Its description in RNAcentral is "bacterial SSU rRNA". It matches the Rfam family "Bacterial small subunit ribosomal RNA", at positions 63 to 437 of the family's 1533-position model. The record is from RNAcentral. Lineage: Bacteria; Pseudomonadati; Pseudomonadota; Alphaproteobacteria; Rickettsiales; Anaplasmataceae.